UACGAAGGGUGCAAGCGUUACUCGGAAUUACUGGGCGUGAAGCGUGCGUAGGUGGUUUGUUAAGUCUGUUGUGAAAGCCCCGGGCUCAACCUGGGAAUGGCAAUGGAUACUGGCAAGCUAGAGUGCGGUAGAGGGUAGUGGAAUUCCCGGUGUAGCGGUGAAAUGCGUAGAGAUCGGGAGGAACACCAGUGGCGAAGGCGGCUACCUGGACCAGCACUGACACUGAGGCACGAAAGCGUGGGGAGCAAACAGG
Molecule: ribosomal RNA, 253 nt
Filed under: uncultured bacterium
Lineage: Bacteria
Description: partial 16S ribosomal RNA
Rfam family: Bacterial small subunit ribosomal RNA
Source: RNAcentral